CCUACGGGAGGCAGCAGUGGGGAAUCUUGCGCUAAUGCGGGAAACCGUGACGCAGCGACGCCGCGUGAGGGAAGAAGGCCUUCGGGUUGUAAACCUCUUUCAGGAGGGACGAAGCUACUCGGGUUAAUAGCCCAGAGGGUGACGGUACCUCCAGAAGAAGCCCCGGCUAACUACGUGCCAGCAGCCGCGGUAAUACGUAGGGGGCAAGCGUUGUCCGGAUUUAUUGGGCGUAAAGAGCGUGUAGGCGGCUUUGCAGGUCCGUUGUGAAAACUUGAGGCUCAACCUCGAGACGCCGGUGGAAACCGCAAAGCUAGAGUCCGGAAGAGGAGAGUGGAAUUCCUGGUGUAGCGGUGAAAUGCGCAGAUAUCAGGAAGAACACCCGUGGCGAAGGCGGCUCUCUGGGACGGUACUGACGCUGAGACGCGAAAGCGUGGGGAGCG
Molecule: ribosomal RNA, 440 nt
Filed under: uncultured bacterium
Lineage: Bacteria
Description: bacterial SSU rRNA
Rfam family: Bacterial small subunit ribosomal RNA
Source: RNAcentral